CAGACGGGUGGCAGCAGUGGGGAAUAUUGGACAAUGGGCGAAAGCCUGAUCCAGCCAUGCCGCGUGUGUGAAGAAGGCCUUCGGGUUGUAAAGCACUUUCAGUGGGGAAGAAAGCCUUGGGGCUAAUACCCUCGAGGAAGGACAUCACCCACAGAAGAAGCACCGGCUAACUCCGUGCCAGCAGCCGCGGUAAUACGGAGGGUGCGAGCGUUAAUCGGAAUUACUGGGCGUAAAGCGCGCGUAGGCGGUCUGAUAAGCCGGUUGUGAAAGCCCCGGGCUCAACCUGGGAACGGCAUCCGGAACUGUCAGGCUAGAGUGCAGGAGAGGAAGGUAGAAUUCCCGGUGUAGCGGUGAAAUGCGUAGAGAUCGGGAGGAAUACCAGUGGCGAAGGCGGCCUUCUGGACUGACACUGACGCUGAGGUGCGAAAGCGUGGGUAGCAAACAGGAUUAGAUACCCCGGUAGUC
RNAcentral lists this ribosomal RNA (465 nucleotides) under Vreelandella stevensii. Its description in RNAcentral is "partial 16S ribosomal RNA". It matches the Rfam family "Bacterial small subunit ribosomal RNA", at positions 338 to 795 of the family's 1533-position model. The record is from RNAcentral. Lineage: Bacteria; Pseudomonadati; Pseudomonadota; Gammaproteobacteria; Oceanospirillales; Halomonadaceae.